Long non-coding RNA from Parambassis ranga (Indian glassy fish), 580 nucleotides. The record is from Ensembl. NCBI's taxonomy places the organism in Eukaryota, Metazoa, Chordata, Actinopteri, Ambassidae.
CAGACAGUAGAAGUGAAUCAGGAAAUGUCUUUCAGACACUUGUUGGACCGGUUUCACCGUCACUGACGUGUUCAGACUGUGAGGCUGUGAGGAAGUGACGGCGUCCUCAGAUCAGAUUGUGUCAGACAGCAGGACUGAGGAGGACCAGGAGCAGCUUCUUCUCCACACAGGAAGCUGGAAAGUGUCUGUGUGAGCUCUGCUAUGAGUCAGUGUGAGGACAGAGAGGAGGGAGUCCCUCCCUCUAAAAGACCUAAGUGUGGGGACCAUGAGAGCCGGACCAAAGCUCAGAGAACAAAGCAGCAGCACACUGCACACUCUGCUGGACCUGGACCUGGACCUGGACCUGGACCUGGACCUGGAGCUGGACCUGGACCUGGACCUGGACCUGGACCUGGACCUGGGCCUGGACCUGGACCUGCCAGCUGUGUGUCCAUGAAGAGUGAUUGGUCAAAGGGUCAUCCCAUUAAUUUCAAAGAUGUUGAUCCAUCUGAGGGUCAAAGGUCAGAGUUAAUGUCACAGCUGCAGUUUGUUUCCAUCAUUAUUAAACAUUUAAAGUGUAACAUGAUGUUCAGCAUCAUUU